UCGGAUGUGAAAUCCCCGGGCUCAACCUGGGAACUGCAUUCGAAACUGGCAGGCUUGAGUCUUGUAGAGGGGGGUAGAAUUCCAGGUGUAGCGGUGAAAUGCGUAGAGAUCUGGAGGAAUACCGGUGGCGAAGGCGGCCCCCUGGACAAAGACUGACGCUCAGGUGCGAAAGCGUGGGGAGCAAACAGGAUUAGAUACCCUGGUAGUCCACGCCGUAAACGAUGUCUACUUGGAGGUUGUGCCCUUGAGGCGUGGCUUCCGGAGCUAACGCGUUAAGUAGACCGCCUGGGGAGUACGGCCGCAAGGUUAAAACUCAAAUGAAUUGACGGGGGCCCGCACAAGCGGUGGAGCAUGUGGUUUAAUUCGAUGCAACGCGAAGAACCUUACCUGGUCUUGACAUCCACAGAACUUUCCAGAGAUGGAUUGGUGCCUUCGGGAACUGUGAGACAGGUGCUGCAUGGCUGUCGUCAGCUCGUGUUGU
This 481-nucleotide ribosomal RNA is filed under the name Salmonella enterica subsp. enterica serovar Kua. RNAcentral's name for it is "bacterial SSU rRNA". It matches the Rfam family "Bacterial small subunit ribosomal RNA", at positions 588 to 1068 of the family's 1533-position model. Lineage: Bacteria; Pseudomonadati; Pseudomonadota; Gammaproteobacteria; Enterobacterales; Enterobacteriaceae. The record is from RNAcentral.